RNAcentral lists this ribosomal RNA (800 nucleotides) under Bacillus sp. CO85. Its description in RNAcentral is "bacterial SSU rRNA". It matches the Rfam family "Bacterial small subunit ribosomal RNA", at positions 379 to 1171 of the family's 1533-position model. Lineage: Bacteria; Bacillati; Bacillota; Bacilli; Caryophanales; Bacillaceae. RNAcentral also lists the same sequence under 1 other name. The record is from RNAcentral.
AAGUCUGACGGAGCAACGCCGCGUGAGUGACGAAGGCCUUCGGGUCGUAAAGCUCUGUUGUUAGGGAAGAACAAGUACCGUUCGAAUAGGGCGGUACCUUGACGGUACCUAACCAGAAAGCCACGGCUAACUACGUGCCAGCAGCCGCGGUAAUACGUAGGUGGCAAGCGUUGUCCGGAAUUAUUGGGCGUAAAGCGCGCGCAGGCGGUCUCUUAAGUCUGAUGUGAAAGCCCACGGCUCAACCGUGGAGGGCCAUUGGAAACUGGGGGACUUGAGUGCAGAAGAGGAGAGUGGAAUUCCACGUGUAGCGGUGAAAUGCGUAGAUAUGUGGAGGAACACCAGUGGCGAAGGCGGCUCUCUGGUCUGUAACUGACGCUGAGGCGCGAAAGCGUGGGGAGCAAACAGGAUUAGAUACCCUGGUAGUCCACGCCGUAAACGAUGAGUGCUAGGUGUUGGGGGGUUCCACCCUCAGUGCUGAAGUUAACACAUUAAGCACUCCGCCUGGGGAGUACGACCGCAAGGUUGAAACUCAAAGGAAUUGACGGGGGCCCGCACAAGCAGUGGAGCAUGUGGUUUAAUUCGAAGCAACGCGAAGAACCUUACCAGGUCUUGACAUCCUCUGCCACUCCUAGAGAUAGGACGUUCCCCUUCGGGGGACAGAGUGACAGGUGGUGCAUGGUUGUCGUCAGCUCGUGUCGUGAGAUGUUGGGUUAAGUCCCGCAACGAGCGCAACCCUUGAUCUUAGUUGCCAGCAUUCAGUUGGGCACUCUAAGGUGACUGCCGGUGACAAACCGGAGGAA